AAAGUUAGAGUUAAUUGCUCGUCGCUCGAGGUCAAGGGAACGGAGUGACCUACUUAUUCGCUUUCAGUCGCGAACGACGUCCAUAGUCGGUCAUGUUUAGCAUUUGUAAGCAGGGAAAUGCUCUAUGUAGAUAUGCCUUCAACCCCAUAACGUGCCAUUCCCAAAGUGUUGUGGGCCAAGACCGCUGCCUUAUGGUCCUUUUACGCCAAGGAGUUAGGAGCACAAAUGUACUAAGACCACCGAGUGCUGAUUCCAGCACGAGGCUGCGCUUACUUUACAAAUUGACCAUAUGACAUCCUUCCAGCUUCCGCAGGUAGCACGGACAAGCAAGGACAGGCACCGGAGCUGAACAUGUUGAGCAGUUCGCGCAAGCGACCCAUGGGUAUAGCCGACCCGGUGCCCGCAUUCAUUGCUUUGGAGCCAUGGCACUCCAGCGAGCAGCAAGCAUCGCUGCGGUGCUGUAGUCCACACUCUCCCUUGCUCUGGGCAAGGCGUUCUCCCCUCAGAAUUUUGCUUUCGAGCACAUAAGCACGAGCCCGCGUCCCGAUGAAUGGAUGUCUGGUUGAGAAAACUAGAAACAUGUUCCAUUCGUUAAAUCUUGGAGGAGAUGGCCAUGUAGCUGCUGUCUUGGCGCGUGCCAGUGUGCUCCAUACCAGACUCGCUGGAAUGGAGUCACUGCGUACACGUACUGCCACGCGCCAUCCUAAUGCAUCCCUCUUAAGGAUUCAGUCCCUUGUUGGAGGCUGACGACCGCGGAAAGGAACCUCAGUAAACCUAAGCGGUGGACAUUUACAUGUCGUACACAAUCGUUUGCGUUGCCAGAUCUGACUCAAGUGUUGUGCUCUUUUGCCACGGCGCGCAUCUCGGCCUUGGCUGGGCGAGGUUUUUUACCCGCAGGCCCGGGAGAAGGUGACGUUUGGUUGGUUAGCGGUUUGUCUCCAACGAUAAUUCAACCUCGUAUGUGUAUACCAUGAAAAUGCAUAAACUAAACAUUAAAAAUCACAAAUGUAACGAGUAGCUGCGAGUUUCUUCCACCUCCAUGUCCCAAAAGAUUUUAAGUGAAGCAAAGAUUUCAACGCACACCGUGCUUGUGCGCACGCCAGCCUACUUAAAGAAUUAUUCAUUUUGAC
This 1130-nucleotide long non-coding RNA is filed under the name Volvox carteri. Its description in RNAcentral is "long non-coding RNA (VCAR_LNC000082)". The record is from RNAcentral. Lineage: Eukaryota; Viridiplantae; Chlorophyta; Chlorophyceae; Chlamydomonadales; Volvocaceae.